Molecule: ribosomal RNA, 497 nt
Filed under: uncultured bacterium
Lineage: Bacteria
Description: partial 16S ribosomal RNA
Rfam family: Bacterial small subunit ribosomal RNA
Source: RNAcentral
GAUGAACGCUGGCGGCGUGCCUAAUACAUGCAAGUCGAGCGAACAGACGAGGAGCUUGCUCCUCUGACGUUAGCGGCGGACGGGUGAGUAACACGUGUAUAACCUACCUAUAAGACUGGGAUAACUUCGGGAAACCGGAGCUAAUACCGGAUAAUAUAUUGAACCGCAUGGUUCAAUAGUGAAAGACGGUUUUGCUGUCACUUAUAGAUGGAUCCGCGCCGCAUUAGCUAGUUGGUAAGGUAACGGCUUACCAAGGCAACGAUGCGUAGCCGACCUGAGAGGGUGAUCGGCCACACUGGAACGUAGACAGGGUCCAGACUCCUACGGGAGGCAGCAGUAGGGAAUCUUCCGCAGUGGGCGAAAGCCUGACGGAGCGACGCCGCGUGAGUGAUGAAGGUCUUCGGAUCGUAAAACUCUGUUAUUAGGGAAGAACAAAUGUGUAAGUAACUAUGCACGUCUUGACGGUACCUAAUCAGAAAGCCACGGCUAACUACGUG